UGCCAGCCGCCGCGGUAAUACGGAGUGUGCAAGCGUUACUCGGAAUCACUGGGCUUAAAGAGCACGUAGGCGGAGACUCAAGUCGGUUGUGAAAUCCCCCGGCUCAACCGGGGAACUGCAGCCGAAACUGUUUCUCUUGAGGACAAGAGGGGAGAGCAGAACUUCUGGUGGAGCGGUGAAAUGCGUAGAUAUCAGAAGGAAUGUCGGUGGUGAAAACGGCUCUCUGGCUUGUUUCUGACGCUGAGGUGCGAAAGCUAGGGCAGCGAACGGGAUUAGAUA
This 279-nucleotide ribosomal RNA is filed under the name uncultured bacterium. RNAcentral's name for it is "partial 16S ribosomal RNA". It matches the Rfam family "Bacterial small subunit ribosomal RNA", at positions 506 to 784 of the family's 1533-position model. The record is from RNAcentral.